UUGUCUUUCUUUUUUUCUUAUUUCUUUUUCUUUUUGCCUCGCUCUUUCAUUAUAGGAUGGAGAUGUUGCAAAUGAAUCAGCACAAAAUGACUCUCGUUGGGUAUAAUUAGAACGACUUUCAUACAAAAAAUGAUCACCUCUUCGAGAUUGAUUCUUGGUGGACGAAUACCUUGGUGCAUAUGAAGGACUACUUGUGAUUCCUAGUUCGUCAC
This 212-nucleotide long non-coding RNA is filed under the name Gossypium raimondii (Peruvian cotton). Its description in RNAcentral is "long non-coding RNA (GRAI_LNC006379)". The record is from RNAcentral. Lineage: Eukaryota; Viridiplantae; Streptophyta; Magnoliopsida; Malvales; Malvaceae.